Long non-coding RNA from Raphanus sativus (radish), 1025 nucleotides. RefSeq lists it as uncharacterized. Lineage: Eukaryota; Viridiplantae; Streptophyta; Magnoliopsida; Brassicales; Brassicaceae. The record is from RefSeq and is a predicted model, not a curated record. The transcript has 2 exons.
AAGGCGAGGAGAUUGAUCACGGAGUGCCGCGACCUUCGAUCUUAUCGUUGCUUGAAUCUGAGACGAGAUAGAGUGGGAAGGUUUGAAGACUUUAUGAUGCAGACGGGAGUUCCUUUCCGCCCAAACAUAAUAGAGAGUGCACUGCCAAGUAAGGAGGCGGAUGAUCUGCAAAUGUCGAUGGCCAGAAGUUUGUUGCAUGCUGCUUACUUGCUGAUUCCAGUCCCGAUCAGGAGCGGCGUUGCAGAGGAGACCGAGUGGAUCCGUUUGUAAGCCCCAUCCUAGCAGUCGGUCUCUUGUUGGACAACAAUUCUGGAUCAAAAGCCACGCAUUGAAGUUAUGUCUUGGAAUGCCUCUCGGCGACCAAACAAUCUUGUUCCAAGGCACAAUGGGAUUGUGAUGCUUCAGCUCUCUAUAGACCAUACCCGUUGAGAAGACUUGCGAGGAGCCAUUUAAGUUCCAGGAGUGGUGAUCUUGUGUAGUUGUCAACGACAUCGAGGUCAAAUGGAUGUGCAAGAGCAGCUGUUCUUCAGAGCGUGCUGGAGGGAGAUUCCAAGAGCCAUCAGAAUAUAGAUCAUGUAGUGUAGCAGUUUCCGGGAUGCCUAAGCGUGAUCUUGGAGGCAGUUGUAGGAACUCAGAGAUACGCCCGAAGGGGCUCCAGUUGUCACUCCAAAACCUUACUGUUUGUCCAUUUCCCGCUUCAGUAGUAAUCCAGUUGUAGAUGAGAGGUCUAAGUCUCAACAGGCGCUUCACAAAUCAAGAGUGGUUGUUUCUUUCUUUUAUAGUCCAGAAGUUAGAGAAACAUAAUAACAUGUUUACAUGACGAGACGAGGAAGACCGGAAGAGGAUGGCGAAAAAUGUUGAAAUUUUCUCCAUCUAAUCCCAUUAACAGCGUACCCUAUAUUUAUGUUUGAUUGGAGAUCAUCAUAUAGGUGUAGCAUCUAGUAACGUGAUUAGUGGGUUCGUCUCGUUAAUGACAAUGAAAUACAUUUCCAAUAUAAAAAUUAGUAAAAAAGAAAAUUAAAGUG